UGAUUGGUUGCUAGGGGCAACUCAGCAACUUUUCCUCUGGACAGGUUUUGAUAAAUCUCCCCCACAGUCUCUACAUUUGACCCUUCCAUCUACAGAGAGAAGUUUUGUCAACUUUUUACCUAUUCUAAUUAAUGGAAGCAAUGCACAAUACUUUCUGGAUGUUGACCGAUUGCUUCAUCAACUUGACCACCCAGUGUGUAUUUGCUUCUUUUCAUGUCAAGACCAGAUCUUCCAACAAUGCAUGCCUGUACAAUAUCUUCAAUGAUUUCCAGGAAGAAUAAUCUUUGAAAUAGGGUCUGUAUAAUAAUCUGAUCGAUUCCUCCGUUCGUGUUAUAUAUUCAGCUCACCUGACAAUCAUUGAUGGAUUCUCUUCUCCCGUGACAUGAUAAGCAAACAGUGUGGCACCAUGCCUAUCAGUUCAAAGAGUACAUAUAUUUUUAGAUGUUCUUUCUUUCUUUUCAUACUUCACAUCUGGCAAACAGGUCUUCACAAACAUCCCGAAAACACAUUCCAGUCUAUAAUAAGUCUAAAAUGGAAUUUUAUUCAUUGACCAGAAGUUGGAGCCAUAAGGAAAGACUUUAAUUUGUUGAGUGUGCAGGAUCAUUGUGCCGGAGUCUCAUGCAGGGGAAAACCGUUUGCCUUCAAAAAGUAUUAAACUCAUUCCGUGUAGGAUAAAUUGCCGGAUUACAAUUGAAUUUCAUUACAUAACAACAAAGUAAGUUUAACUGUUCUAGACAUAUGUGAUAUUACCAGCGUAUCGGGAAAGUUAUUAUGAUGUCUCAUUAUGGUUUACCUGCUGGUAUCAUAAAGCAUCUUGCUGUACAUAAUAUCAUUACAAAUAAAAAUUAAAGUUACUC
Molecule: long non-coding RNA, 857 nt
Organism: Hyla sarda
Lineage: Eukaryota; Metazoa; Chordata; Amphibia; Anura; Hylidae
Exons: 3
Source: RefSeq, a predicted model, not a curated record